RNAcentral lists this microRNA precursor (82 nucleotides) under Tupaia belangeri chinensis (Chinese tree shrew). Lineage: Eukaryota; Metazoa; Chordata; Mammalia; Scandentia; Tupaiidae. The record is from RNAcentral.
GUAUGUGUUACCCUACUGUAGAGAGUGGCAAUCAUGUAUAAGUAAAAAUGAUUGACACCUCUGCAAAUGGAGUAAUGCAUGA